Molecule: long non-coding RNA, 4703 nt
Filed under: Olea europaea (common olive)
Lineage: Eukaryota; Viridiplantae; Streptophyta; Magnoliopsida; Lamiales; Oleaceae
Description: long non-coding RNA (OEUR_LNC005815)
Source: RNAcentral
ACACAAAUCAUCAAUACCUUUGGGUGGGAUAAGAGUAGGAUACACAACAUUUGACUAAGAGGUAUCGAGAACAAGGGGUACAAUACCUAGACUUAUAAGAAAAGUCCAAAUAUUAUCUAAAGGGGUGUCCUCACUGUCAUCCAAUUCAUCAAAUUCUUCAAGUUUAGGUCUAUAGAUUUGAUUUUCUAAUCACUCAUCUCUCAUUUUCUUUUGUUCUUCAAUGAAUAAGGCUCGAUUAGAACAUUCAGAAGAGAUGUGGCCAAAGUCCUUAUAGUUGAAGUACUGCAAAUGAGAAGAAGUUAUUGAAGUUUCAAAAUCUUGACCUUCAUUGUCCAACAGAGGAGCAUUAGAUGGGCGAGGACCUAGAAGCGGCUUAACAGGAGAAGGUGGUGUUGAUGAGACGAAAGGGGGAAUGUCACUACGCCUUCGAUACGAAGAAGAAGGUCUUGGGAUAUCAUGACCUUUACAUUUAUUUUCCCAAAUGGGAUGAACAUUAGACGAGGAAGGCUCUAUGAUGGGCUUAUGACAAGGUGGCGCUAAUGACAUGGGUGAAUGAUGGUGAUCGCGCUUUUCAUAUAGAGUACUAAUAGUUAACUCAUAAUCUCUGGUUAAAGAAUAAGCGUGAUCAAGAAUAGUGACUCCUCGAAAGAAAAGCUCACGCAUAAGAUCAUCUCUUAGAGCUUGGCUAAACCUACUCAAAGUCGUGAUCUCAUCCUCAAUGACAUGACAUUUGGUUCAAAAUUCCUUUUCAUAUAGAGUACUAAUAGUUAACUCAUAAUCUCUGGUUAAAGAAUAAGCAUGAUCAAGAAUAGAGACUCCUCGAAAGAAAAGCUCACGCAUAAGAUCAUCUCUUAGAGCUUGGCUAAACCUACUCAAAGUCGUGAUCUCAUCCUCAAUGACAUGACAUUUGGUUCAAAAUUCCUCAAAUUGUGCAAUAUAGUCGGUCACUAACCGAUUCCCUUGUUUAAGAGCAGUCCAUUGAGUAUAAACUUCAAAAUCUAGGCAACCAUCAAAAGUAGGAAUGUCUAAUUUAUUGUCUCUAAAAGAACUUUCCUUAUGAUCGUAUUGAAAAUAUUUUUGAUCACCUUGUCGACGACAAUAUUGUUUAUUGUGGGACGCUUUAGAAUUAUGAACAUCAAUCGAAUGAGGGAUUAGCUUAAAAUUGUUCGGAUUAGCUUAAAAUUGUUCAGACUAGCAACUAGAUCUCUACUCUUUUGACGAGUAGCAGCUAUCUCGAUUUGGAAAACGGCUAAUUGAGUUUGUAAGUGUUGCUGGCUAGUGACAAGUUGAGCUAAUUGUCUAGUGAGUGCCUCAAAUUGUGAAGAGUCCGUGUCUAGGUACUGAAACGAGGAGUAACAAGACGACCAGUCGACCACUAUGCAUGCACUGUACUAGCAGCUAAAUGACGUGCAAUAGAGAGAGAUCAAUGAACAAUAAGUGCAAACAAUGAUAAGUAACAACUUGAGCAUUUUUUUUUUUUUUGAAAAUUAGAAUUUGUGGUUAUGUUAAUCCAAAUGUAACAAGCUAAUAAUGCUGAUUCGAAUAAAAUAAAAGGCAAGAAUACAAAUGACGAAUCAAAAUCUUUAACCCCGUGGGGUAAGCAGGGUAACGUAGGAAAUUAUUCAGUCAACAAUUCCAAUCAAGUGGUGUAAAGAUAAAAUUUAUGAUAUAACAGCAGCACAAAUUUUAAUUGAUGCAAUUUUUAAAAUAAAGUAGUAGUAUAAACCAAUAAUAAAAAGGGUUCAAGGACUCCCAGUUGUUUGGGUGUGACUAUCUGUAUGUCGAUUGAUCUGAAUUGCCGAUUUAAGAGCCCCAACUAUGCUUCUGUUCUUCCCUUCAUGUCCAAUGGUUUUAGCCCCUGUUGACUAUAACUUGUGCUGGUUUUGGUGUGGACGUAAAACUAAGUAUGGUGACUGUGGCUUUUAGAUUGUUGAGAUGGACGGGGAAAUAUAUGAGUACGGUAACUGUGGUGGAAGUGUAUGAUCUUGGGUUGGUAGUGGUGGCAUGUGGCGAUGAAGUAGUAGUGCGUUGGAUGCCUGGUUACAAUAGAUAAUGAAGUAGUAGUGUGGUGGUGAUUAGAGGCGGCGGCGACACGAGAGUGGUUGUGAGAGAGGAAUCGGGUGAAACUGUGGGACUAUUUGAUAUUAAUGGAUUGGUUAUAAUCGGGUUUGGUCGAAUAUGUGGGACUGGGCUAGAUAGGAAGGGGUUUGGAUCGUCUUAUAGAGAUGGGCCAGCUCAAGUUAGUGUUUUAGGAGUGGGCUUGUGUCGUAGAGAGUAGGUUGAGUUAAUUGGGCUAAACGAAAUUGGGUCUUGUGUAAGUACGAUUGAAUGCUAGGGUUGGAAUUUGUGGAACAAUACUACAAUUGUAGAGAAGAAACUGCAGCGAACGAGAUUUUUAUUUUUGUGGGNUUAAAAGACAUGGAAGAGUGUGGCUAUGUGAAAGAAACAGGUUUUGUUUGGCUCAAACAGAAGAAGAAAACUGAGCAUAAAUUUGAAAAAAUUGAUAAGAGUUGUUCAAUAUGCAACUGAGAUCACAGUCUAUGUUGAGCCAAACAAAAUCAAGAAACUUACUGGUGUCAAGACUGAGUAGCUAUUCAUUUGGAUGACUCCUAGUGACGUAUAUGUCAACGAUCCGCCUAACGGAAAAAUCACCUUCAAGACUCCGACUGGGCUAUCCCGGUGUUUUCCAGUGGAAGCUUUUGCGGUCGAGGAGGAGAUGGAGGAGGUUAACGAAGUUUAACAACAUGCUGAGGUAAAACCAGCUGUUGAAGUGAAGGAAGUGUAAUUUGGUGUUUUAUCUGUUCUUGUUCGCUCUAGUUCUACUAUGAUCAUGGUAUGAAUAAGUUAUAAAUUAGAAGUUUCAAAAUUUCCUUAUUAUUCUAAAAGACAGUAGACCAACAAUCUUUACGCAUACUGUGCAUUAGCAAGUUUCCUUACUUGAUACAGAAUAUAAAAGAGAUUUCAAAAUCUCUUCUUUUGUUCAAGAAACCCCAAAUUAAGACUCGUGAAGGAUAUCUUGGGUUAACUUCUUCCGGACAAUUUUCCCAAAAGAAUAACAUUGUUGUCACUGGCCUGAAGAAUGAGUUUUUCUAGGAGGUACAUGUUAUUAAAUUUUUAGCUACUUACAUAUAUAGGGUUAGUUCCCUUGGGAUUAUUUUCUUUCUAGUAGCAUCUGAGAAUGAGUUUUUCUGCUUCAGCCAAUACUGAUAGUGAUGUAGGACGAAUUAAAGAAUAGAAAGAAGAAGCAAGAAAGAGGGAAGAACCGAAGAAAAUGGGGGGGAAGAAAUCGGAGAACCAGCAGAAAUUCAUGGGGAAGAGGGGAAGGGAGAGGAAGGAGAAGCUAUAGGCAACAAAUCACCAAAAUAUUCUUCAAUUCAUCAAAAACUAAAGAAAAUUACCAGGCAAAUUAGGUUUAAAUAGUAAAAAUAAAACCAUAAGUAGAAUGAGCUUAAGCCAAUACAAGCCCAAUUACAUAAAUAGAAUCUAAAACAUAAAUAAAAUCCAAUUAGAAAUAAAUAAAAUAGAUGAUGUUUUUAUCAACUCUCCUGGGUGGGAGAAAAACUCAACCCUGUCGAGUUGAAAGAUCACUGUAGACUGUAAUCAAUCUGAAACUCCAAAUGCUUCAAGUCAAGCCAUGGGAGACGAUGUUUCUGACAAACCAAGUACCGAAAUUUCAUGAUUGAUAGUACUAAAAACUGUAGUUUAUUUCCAAGAAUAUGAUAUGGUCAAGGGGGGCGGUCUUUCCUUCUAACCAAGUACCGAUACUGGACUCCAAAUAAUCAAUAUUCAUGCACCUCACCUUCAAAAUUUUCACAUGAUUGUACAUAAUGAAGAGCAUAAGAAGCACGUUGAUCUACCCAAUAAACAAGAAAGUACUGAAUCCUGCCAUCAUUGAUCAAUACAACACAUUCAUCUAAAAUAACAUCAAUUUUAUCUUUGUGUGCCGUGACGGAUGGUAUUGAAGUAGAAAUAUCAAUAUAGUCAAGUUGGGGGCCCACAAAGCUAAGUAAAAAUGGAUCAUCAAGUGAAGUAAAAUGGUGUUUGCAAGUAAUGAAGUCCUCAAUAUUUAGAGUAGAAUGAUAGCCAAAAUGUGAUGACAGGUUAAUGACAUAUGUAUUUGAACCAACAUGCUUUAAAAUUUUACAAGGACCAGCAUUGCAUGCUUGUAAUAUAACAAAAUCCCUGAUAUGAAAUUCAAAAUUUCGCUUAUACAAAUCAGCUCGAAGUUUAUAUGAUGCAUUACUUGCUUCAAGUUAUUUAUUGAUUUCGAUAUGCAAGUCAUGAAGAUAAAAUACAAAUGUUUCAACUGACGACGACACACUAGCAUGCGGGGACAUGGGAAUAAGAUCUAACGGCCGCCUAGACUUAUAACUAUGAACAACUUCAAAUGGAUUUAGGCCUAGAGACCGAUUUUCAGAAUUGUUAUAUGCAAUUUGAACAGUUGGAAGGAUCAAAUUCCAAUUUCCAAGAGUUUCUUGCAAAGAACAUGAUUACACAAAUCAUCAAUACCUUUGGAUGGGAUAAGAGUAGGGUACACAACAUUUGACUAAGAGGUAUCGAGAACAAGGGGUACAAUACCUAGACUUAUAAGAAAAGUCCAAAUAUUAUCUAAAGGGGUGUCCUCACUGUCAUCCAAUUCAUCAAAUUCUUCAAGUUUAGGUCUAUAGAUUUGAUUUUCUAAUCACUCAUCUCUCAUUUUCUUU